ACGCCAGUCUGCGUGGAGCCGACCUUGAAAUACCACCCUUUAAUGUUUGAUGUUCUAACGUGGACCCGUAAUCCGGGUUGCGGACAGUGUCUGGUGGGUAGUUUGACUGGGGCGGUCUCCUCCUAAAGAGUAACGGAGGAGCACGAAGGUUGGCUAAUCCUGGUCGGACAUCAGGAGGUUAGUGCAAUGGCAUAAGCCAGCUUGACUGCGAGCGUGACGGCGCGAGCAGGUGCGAAAGCAGGUCAUAGUGAUCCGGUGGUUCUGAAUGGAAGGGCCAUCGCUCAACGGAUAAAAGGUACUCCGGGGAUAACAGGCUGAUACCGCCCAAGAGUUCAUAUCGACGGCGGUGUUUGGCACCUCGAUGUCGGCUCAUCACAUCCUGGGGCUGAAGUAGGUCCCAAGGGUAUGGCUGUUCGCCAUUUAAAGUGGUACGCGAGCUGGGUUUAGAACGUCGUGAGACAGUUCGGUCCCUAUCUGCCGUGGGCGCUGGAGAACUGAGGGGGGCUGCUCCUAGUACGAGAGGACCGGAGUGGACGCAUCACUGGUGUUCGGGUUGUCAUGCCAAUGGCACUGCCCGGUAGCUAAAUGCGGAAGAGAUAAGUGCUGAAAGCAUCUAAGCACGAAACUUGCCCCGAGAUGAGUUCUCCCUGAGACUUAAAGUCUCCUGAAGGA
Molecule: ribosomal RNA, 672 nt
Filed under: Salmonella enterica subsp. enterica serovar Infantis
Lineage: Bacteria; Pseudomonadati; Pseudomonadota; Gammaproteobacteria; Enterobacterales; Enterobacteriaceae
Description: partial 23S ribosomal RNA
Rfam family: Bacterial large subunit ribosomal RNA
Source: RNAcentral